Non-coding RNA from Chiloscyllium plagiosum (whitespotted bambooshark), 321 nucleotides. NCBI's taxonomy places the organism in Eukaryota, Metazoa, Chordata, Chondrichthyes, Orectolobiformes, Hemiscylliidae. The record is from RefSeq and is a predicted model, not a curated record.
UCCGAGACAGGGAGAUAAUGAGUCACUUUACACUGGGAAGUUUUAAUUACACUCUGUGUGGUUCAUAAGUCUGAGUUAGAAUCUCUUAGUCCCGCGUUUGCAGCAGAUGGGAAAAUGGCUGCGGCCCUCAGGCGGUGAUAUGGCCACCAUCUUUAUUGUGGGCAAGGUACAGGAUAUUAAAUCAGAAUAAUUGAGGCUGGGAUCUCAAAAGCAAGUUUUUACAGAAAAUGGAUUCAUCCGGAUCUGAAUAUCAUUGGCAUUUAACUGUGGAAGGAGAAAGGAUGAGGCUGUCACUGGCUCGGCCAGCAUUUAUUGCUGCGU